Long non-coding RNA from Arachis duranensis, 2805 nucleotides. RefSeq lists it as uncharacterized. The transcript is spliced from 2 exons. The record is from RefSeq and is a predicted model, not a curated record. NCBI's taxonomy places the organism in Eukaryota, Viridiplantae, Streptophyta, Magnoliopsida, Fabales, Fabaceae.
AUAUUUAAUAUGUUUUAUAUAAAUAAAAAAGACAUUAAAACAUUUAAAAAUGAGUUUAUUUUAAAUAUUAAUAAAAUAUUAGGAUAUGAUUAUAAUUUAAUGCUAAAUUUUGUUUUAAAAUAUCUUUUGAGGCAAAGUUAUCCUUCUUUCCUCAUCUCUCUCAUCGGCACCCUUAACCCUAAUCCUCCCAAUCACUCCCAACCCGUCACCUCUGACUUAUUUCAAUUAAAAAAUCCAAAAUCUGUGGAGAGAGAGAAAAAUCAAAGAGCAAAACCAAAAUCUGUCGAGAGAGAGAGAGAAAAAUUGAAGAGCAAAAAUCUUUUGUUUACGCUCCUAGUGACAGUAGCUUUCUUCUUGUUUAGUUUUGAAUAUUGGCACCGUGUUGUGUUAUUGUGUUGAUCACUUCACAUCUUUUUUGAAUUUUAUAAGGAUAAAUUGUUUGAAAAAAAAAAUACAAGUGAAAUGAGGAAGAGGAUAUUUUUAUCCAAAAAAUAGGAAAAAAACGAUUUUAAAAUAAAACCCAACGUUAGAAAUAAUUUUGAAUAAAAAAAAACCCUAUGAAUAAUUUUAAUUUUCACUUAAAAUUAGAGAGAUCGACAUUGUGAUUCGUCCCUUAUUUAUAACAUUCUUUACAUUUUUUAAUGUACUUGUAUUUUACUUGUCCAUGUCAACAUCUUUCGAGUCAUAAACAUACUUAAAAUUAGAGAAAAGACAUAUACCUAAAAUUUAUAAGUAGCCAACAUAUUUUAAGUAUGUUAUAUAUUAUCAGUCAUAUAUUAUCACAUAAACAAAAGAAAGUAAAUUUUAUAUUCUCUAUUCAAAAUUAAAGUCUAAUUGUUUAUAAAAAAAAUUUAGACAAGAGUAGUUUUUAUAUUUUCAAAAAUCAAUAAUUAUCCAAAUAUUUGAAGAAACAAGCGACAUUUGGCAAAUUCAAUUCUGGAUGGAAGAGAUUUGCAAUAGACAAUAGUUUGAAUGUAGGGGACAUUUGUGUUUUUGAGCUCACCAAUCCCAAAGACCUUUAUUUUAAGGCAUCCAUAGCUCGAAUUGAAGAAGAGGAACUUUCGCUAUCACAAGGUAAUUAUUCUAGUUGGUAUUUCAGCGAAAGAGUCCCAAAUUGUUCUGCUUCUGCAUUGUAAUGGUUGCUAGUGAAGUUAGUUACACGUUAUUGGUAGUGGUAAGUGGUAACACGGUAAAAGUUUCUUGUUAUAGAUGUUGAGCUAUCCGAGUUUGUUAGUCCAAGUCACCAGGCUCUUAACAGUUUCUCUCAACCCAGCUUUCUCUGUUUUAUUGUUAUGGUCAUUUUACAAAUCAGAUGCACCGAUUUGUUUUUGAAAAAAUUACAAAUUUUAUAAUGUUAAAUCCAACUAUUCGAUUCUUUAAAUAUAUUCCUUCUGUCUUUAGAUAAUUAUAUUGAAAAGGAAAAAUUAUUGAUUAAUAUCUAUUGCUUUUCUUUUCUGAAUAUUAAACAAUACUUCUCCAAAUAUAUCUUUUGAUAUGCUAAAUUUUUAUCUUGUUAAAUUAUAUUAUAUAUAUUAAAACUACAAAUUUACCUGUCAUAAAAAAAAAUCAGUUUUCUAGUUUAGGAUAAUAAUAUAUAUUGGUACCUAGUUUUACUUUAUGCAAUAGCUUUUAAAGAUAUAUUUUUUGGCAUUUCCAAUUGCACAAUUUUAAAUAAAAGAAAUUGUCACCACCAUAAUAAGUUUCAUAUUCCCGAACUACAUAAUUUUCAUCAUUCCCCAUUGUUUUGGGAUGUGGUUGCAAAUUGUUAUCAACAAAAUUUUCGUAUGCAAAAUAUUAUUUUAUCCUAAAAUUUUUGAAGACGGAGACUGAAACUUUAAUAAUAUUUUAUAUCUAAAAUGUUCUAUUUCAAUUAAUUAAUUCUAACUUUAUUAUUUAUUCCAAUUAAAUUAGAGUUUCAUUCUUAUUUCAUUCCGUUCGUGUCUUCUACUUUAUACAAAACAUAAUACUGAGACUUAUUUCAGUCUGUCUCUCAAUUGUCAGUGUUUCCAUCUCUAUCUCCCUUUCAAACACUACCUUAAGUCACACAAUAGCUUUUAAAGAGAAUUUUGUUUCACAAUACGAAUGGCAAAUUUGCCAAAGCUAGGCAUGUGUUAUGCCUACUUUCAUUCAUAUUGGAUUUUUUUCCUUUGCCGAUUAAAGAAAUAGGACCAGAGUUUUCUCUACCUUUACAUCUACAAUGAUGAGGCUGAAGGUCAUCAUAUAAUAUGAUAUCUGCUUGCCCUGACGGUCCAAUAUAUCAAAAUGAUGCGGCUGGACCCAACAAUAUGGUGGAAGGUUUGCCACGUUCAAAUGAGGCUGUUGGUAUCAGUAACAGUGGUCUUGAAACUUGCUAAAAGUAAAAAGAAUUGCCGAAUGUAUUGUAGAUUUAUGUGAUGGUUCGCCACUUGGAGUCAAUGUGAUGGCCAGAGUGAUGAAAGGUGUAGACGAUGUUGACGUUAAUAUCUGGAGACAUACAAUGAACAAACUUAAAAAUUCAGCAAUGGGAGAAGACAUGGAAGAAGAGGUUAUAAAAGGUAUUAAAACGAAGCUAUGACCAUUCAAGAUUGUUUCUUGCAACGUGCAUUAUACAGUGAGGUUUCAGAAUUAGUGAGUGUGUGCGGCACCAUUAUAGUCUCUGAAUUUCUUCCAAAAGUUUCGGUCAACUCCUUUCCAAAACUAACAGUCUCCUUCGGCUUUUGAAUCUAUAAGGGUGUUUGAAAACUUUGUGUAAUUCAAUUCAAUUUCCGUCGUUCGAAACAAAAAUAAUUAAAUUAGUUUAAAUGAAAUUUAAUUAAUUUUUUAAAA